UUUCCGAAAGGGUUGCCGAAAAGAAAUUUCCGGUACACAAAGCUAACGGGUCUGUUAUUAGGUAACAGACAGCCGGGCUGCCGAA
RNAcentral lists this non-coding RNA (85 nucleotides) under Geobacter sp. DSM 9736. RNAcentral's name for it is "c-di-GMP-I riboswitch aptamer". It matches the Rfam family "c-di-GMP-I riboswitch aptamer". From Rfam's summary of the family: GEMM was predicted in a large-scale screen for bacterial structured RNA regulatory elements. Genes associated with GEMM are involved in a diverse array of functions, including chemotaxis regulation, signal transduction, secretion and chitin. The record is from Rfam by way of RNAcentral. Lineage: Bacteria; Pseudomonadati; Thermodesulfobacteriota; Desulfuromonadia; Geobacterales; Geobacteraceae.